This 253-nucleotide ribosomal RNA is filed under the name uncultured bacterium. RNAcentral's name for it is "partial 16S ribosomal RNA". It matches the Rfam family "Bacterial small subunit ribosomal RNA", at positions 524 to 776 of the family's 1533-position model. The record is from RNAcentral.
UACGUAGGUGGCGAGCGUUGUCCGGAUUUACUGGGCGUAAAGGGAGCGUAGGCGGACUUUUAAGUGAGAUGUGAAAUACUCGGGCUCAACUUGAGUACUGCAUUUCAAACUGGAUGUCUAGAGUGCAGGAGAGGAGAAUGGAAUUCCUAGUGUAGCGGUGAAAUGCGUAGAGAUUAGGAAGAACACCAGUGGCGAAGGCGAUUCUCUGGACUGUAACUGACGCUGAGGCUCGAAAGCGUGGGGAGCAAACAGG